Molecule: ribosomal RNA, 428 nt
Filed under: Fusobacteriota bacterium
Lineage: Bacteria; Fusobacteriati; Fusobacteriota
Description: Fusobacteria bacterium partial 16S ribosomal RNA
Rfam family: Bacterial small subunit ribosomal RNA
Source: RNAcentral
UGGGGAAUAUUGCGCAAUGGGCGAAAGCCUGACGCAGCGACGCCGCGUGAGGGAUGAAGGUUUUCGGAUCGUAAACCUCUGUCAGAAGGGAAGAAACCGCACUGUGCUAAUCAGCAGUGCCUUGACGGUACCUUCAAAGGAAGCACCGGCUACUCCGUGCCAGCAGCCGCGGUAAUACGGAGGGUGCAAGCGUUAAUCGGAAUUACUGGGCGUAAAGCGCACGUAGGCUGCUUUGUAAGUCAGGGGUGAAAUCCCACGGCUCAACCGUGGAACUGCCUUUGAUACUGCUUAGCUUGAAUCCGGGAGAGGGUGGCGGAAUUCCAGGUGUAGGAGUGAAAUCCGUAGAUAUCUGGAGGAACAUCAGUGGCGAAGGCGGCCACCUGGACCGGUAUUGACGCUGAGGUGCGAAAGCGUGGGGAGCAAACAGG